RNAcentral lists this ribosomal RNA (691 nucleotides) under Microbacterium paraoxydans. RNAcentral's name for it is "bacterial SSU rRNA". It matches the Rfam family "Bacterial small subunit ribosomal RNA", at positions 44 to 745 of the family's 1533-position model. Lineage: Bacteria; Bacillati; Actinomycetota; Actinomycetes; Micrococcales; Microbacteriaceae. The record is from RNAcentral.
GUGCUUAACACAUGCAAGUCGAACGGUGAACACGGAGCUUGCUCUGUGGGAUCAGUGGCGAACGGGUGAGUAACACGUGAGCAACCUGCCCCUGACUCUGGGAUAAGCGCUGGAAACGGCGUCUAAUACUGGAUAUGUGACGUGACCGCAUGGUCUGCGUUUGGAAAGAUUUUUCGGUUGGGGAGGGGCUCGCGGCCUAUCAGCUUGUUGGUGAGGUAAUGGCUCACCAAGGCGUCGACGGGUAGCCGGCCUGAGAGGGUGACCGGCCACACUGGGACUGAGACACGGCCCAGACUCCUACGGGAGGCAGCAGUGGGGAAUAUUGCACAAUGGGCGAAAGCCUGAUGCAGCAACGCCGCGUGAGGGAUGACGGCCUUCGGGUUGUAAACCUCUUUUAGCAGGGAAGAAGCGAAAGUGACGGUACCUGCAGAAAAAGCGCCGGCUAACUACGUGCCAGCAGCCGCGGUAAUACGUAGGGCGCAAGCGUUAUCCGGAAUUAUUGGGCGUAAAGAGCUCGUAGGCGGUUUGUCGCGUCUGCUGUGAAAUCCCGAGGCUCAACCUCGGGCCUGCAGUGGGUACGGGCAGACUAGAGUGCGGUAGGGGAGAUUGGAAUUCCUGGUGUAGCGGUGGAAUGCGCAGAUAUCAGGAGGAACACCGAUGGCGAAGGCAGAUCUCUGGGCCGUAACUGACG